GGCCAUCCUCCUUCAGGAUGUAGUCCCUUCCCUCUCCCGGCAGGGCCACUGGGUCUUGGCCUGAGUCGGUCUGUAAUUAACCUUAGCUAUGGCUCUGCUGGCCUGGAGGAGAAGCAGGGGGCAUCCUAAGGGAUGCGUCUAUUGCCUUGACAGCUCUGGCGUCACCCUUUAAUCUGUGGUCACGUCUGCAGGCAGAAGAAUCAAGGGAAGUCGGUGACUGAAGAUUUUCAAGUGUAUCAAACCGAGUAUUUCCAAUCUCCUAUCCUGGGAUCCUACUUCUUUACAAUCCAAGCUCUGAUUUUCAUGGAAACUCUUUUUAUGGAAGUCUGCUCUUAGGAACUUUCUACUCUUCUUCGAAGUCAGGGAGCUGUUCCCCAGCUUUUUCUGCCCCUGAUUAAACUCUCUUUGGGAGCUGCCAAAGAAGCCCCUGGCUUUAUGAUUGAGCUUUAAUCGCCGACGAAGCACUGUCCACCUUUCCUUACCCAUCUCCAAAGCGUCUGUUGCCUAGCAACAGGCUUCGAGUCGCCCGUCCUCAGAAUGACCAUUCCCCAGUACCUGUCACCUCCCAAGCACUGUCCUGGCCACCGCUCCCGUCUGCUCACAAGCCACCCCAGCUCUCGCCACACCCAAAAUCAAUGUCUUCACUGCGACAGUUCUCCAGCCCUGACGGUUCUCACACACCGACAGCGCCAGCCUCACAAUGGGUGAUCCAGAUCUGAAGUCUGCUGCUUGGAUCACUUCUGGCACUGAAUGUCACGCACCACGUCCCUUGGACUCGGACUCAGAGGCAGACUGGGCAGCAGCUGUACCCCAGACUGGGGCAAAGCAGUUGAGCCUUCCUAUCCCUGCACGGAUCCAUCACCAGACAAGACCUCUCGUCCCAGGAAGAACUCUUUGCAUAUUGAGGAUCAUAAACGGACCAUAUACUGCUCCCCCGCGGCAGCCCGACUUUCAACUUUCUUUGCAGUGUGUUUUACUAUAAAAUCUGUAAAACCUCAGGCCGCCCAUUUCUUCUAUUAUAGCAUCUGGGUCUCAUUUGGCACCUCUAAAGACUUUAUCCUUAUAAAAUAUUCUUCCAUCUUUUUUCUAAUAUUUUAUGGUUUCGGCUUUUACGUUUAGAUUUUAUUCCAUCUGGAAUUUAUUUUGGUGAGAGAAAUAUGAAUCCACCU
Molecule: long non-coding RNA, 1169 nt
Organism: Fukomys damarensis (Damara mole-rat)
Lineage: Eukaryota; Metazoa; Chordata; Mammalia; Rodentia; Bathyergidae
Source: Ensembl